Molecule: transfer RNA, 82 nt
Filed under: Gloiopeltis furcata
Lineage: Eukaryota; Rhodophyta; Florideophyceae; Gigartinales; Endocladiaceae
Description: tRNA-Leu
Rfam family: tRNA
About the family: Transfer RNA (tRNA) molecules are approximately 80 nucleotides in length. Their secondary structure includes four short double-helical elements and three loops (D, anti-codon, and T loops). Further hydrogen bonds mediate the characteristic L-shaped molecular structure. tRNAs have two regions of fundamental functional importance: the anti-codon, which is responsible for specific mRNA codon recognition, and the 3' end, to which the tRNAs corresponding amino acid is attached (by aminoacyl-tRNA synthetases). tRNAs cope with the degeneracy of the genetic code in two manners: having more than one tRNA (with a specific anti-codon) for a particular amino acid; and 'wobble' base-pairing, i.e. permitting non-standard base-pairing at the 3rd anti-codon position.
Source: RNAcentral
ACGGGCAUGGCGGAAUUGGUAGACGCGUUAGGUUUAGAUUCUAAUGAGUGAUAUCAUGAGAGUUCAAAUCUCUCUGCCCGUA